ACCCUACUCUAAUAAGGCUUUAAUAUCUGGAGCUCAUAGGUGGGAGAUAAAGUAUACAUACUCACAAGACAUUUAUUGUAUAGUCAAACCAUGGAUCCAGAGUAACAAGCCAAUAAGUCAAAUCAAGAUGUGCAUGUGUGGCGAAUAAAUGGCGUAUGGUGAUAAUGGUGAUGACAAUGGUGGAUGUCUAAUUCUACUUUUGCUCUUUGAGGGGAUACAUACCUUUCUUGCUUUUUGAAACUUUGUGAGGAGAAUGACAUGCUCGUUUUUUUCUUUCCUCUCAGGUGGGUAUCUUGUACCCCUAAUUCUACAGUCGAACACUUGUCCAUUUUUACCUCUCGUCUCACUUUUUCUUUUCUUUCAAGGUUCCGGGCACUUGCCCCUUUUUAUUUCCUCAUAUUAUUUCUCUUUUUUUAGAGCACUCAUCUCUUGAGAUAAUAUAGCAAGUUGUAGUAACAAGAUAACUUGAGCAUUUAUUUCAUAGGGAAAAAUAGAAAUGUUUUUGGCCAUUCUCUACCGGAUUAGGAGUAGAAUGUUUUUUAGGUGGUUCUGGAGAUGGAAAUGGGUGGAUAUAUGUGGAUGGUACUUCCGGAGUAGAAGCAGCAUAUGUGAGUGAACAUGCAAGUGAAUCUUGAUUUAACCACAUGACAAGCUCCUAAGGGUCUACACAGCGUGACCACACUCAAUGCUUAUUAGCAGUAAAAAGUAAAUGUGUGGCUCAAAGUCUAGCAAGCAUGCAUAUAUGGCUGU
RNAcentral lists this long non-coding RNA (750 nucleotides) under Sorghum bicolor (sorghum). RNAcentral's name for it is "long non-coding RNA (SBIC_LNC012813)". Lineage: Eukaryota; Viridiplantae; Streptophyta; Magnoliopsida; Poales; Poaceae. The record is from RNAcentral.